GAGAGAUACCGUCUUGUAGGUUUUCACUCCAACCCUGUUCCUGGAGAGAUACCGUCCUGUAGGUUUUCACUCCAACCCUGUUCCUGGAGAGAUACCGUCCUGUAGGUUUUCACUCCAACCCUGUUCCUGGAGAGCUACCCUCCUGUAGGUUUUCACUCCAACCCUGUUCCUGGAGAGCUACCCUCCUGUAGGUUUUCACUCCAACCCUGUUCCUGGAGAGCUACCCUCCUGUAGGUUUUCACUCCAACCCUGUUCCUGGAGAGCUACCCUCCUGUAGGUUUUCACUCCAACCCUGUUCCUGGAGAGAUACC
Oncorhynchus keta (chum salmon) is the source of this 311-nucleotide long non-coding RNA. RefSeq lists it as uncharacterized. The transcript is spliced from 4 exons. Lineage: Eukaryota; Metazoa; Chordata; Actinopteri; Salmoniformes; Salmonidae. The record is from RefSeq and is a predicted model, not a curated record.